AUACAUGCAAGUCGAGCGAACAGAUAAGGAGCUUGCUCCUUUGACGUUAGCGGCGGACGGGUGAGUAACACGUGGAUAACCUACCUAUAAGACUGGGAUAACUUCGGGAAACCGGAGCUAAUACCGGAUAACAUAUUGAACCGCAUGGUUCAAUAGUGAAAGGCGGCUUUGCUGUCACUUAUAGAUGGAUCCGCGCCGUAUUAGCUAGUUGGUAAGGUAACGGCUUACCAAGGCAACGAUACGUAGCCGACCUGAGAGGGUGAUCGGCCACACUGGAACUGAGACACGGUCCAGACUCCUACGGGAGGCAGCAGUAGGGAAUCUUCCGCAAUGGGCGAAAGCCUGACGGAGCAACGCCGCGUGAGUGAUGAAGGUCUUCGGAUCGUAAAACUCUGUUAUCAGGGAAGAACAAAUGUGUAAGUAACUGUGCACAUCUUGACGGUAC
Molecule: ribosomal RNA, 445 nt
Filed under: Stenotrophomonas sp.
Lineage: Bacteria; Pseudomonadati; Pseudomonadota; Gammaproteobacteria; Lysobacterales; Lysobacteraceae
Description: bacterial SSU rRNA
Rfam family: Bacterial small subunit ribosomal RNA
Source: RNAcentral